Molecule: long non-coding RNA, 201 nt
Filed under: Elaeis guineensis (African oil palm)
Lineage: Eukaryota; Viridiplantae; Streptophyta; Magnoliopsida; Arecales; Arecaceae
Description: long non-coding RNA (EGUI_LNC015447)
Source: RNAcentral
UGUACAGUAUAUGAUCAAUGACCACGCCCCUUCCCUCCUUUGUGCGUUGAAGAUAGCACAAGAUGUUUUCUACCUCUCAACAUCAUCAGGAGUGCCAAAGGACUUGUUCAAUAUUUGAAGGAUUUCCUUCAGCUGAGCAUCCUCAAAUUUAUAGCUGAACUCAUCGUUCAUAGCUGCCCUCAUAAUGCAAUGCAUAGUAAC